Non-coding RNA from Hydra vulgaris (swiftwater hydra), 420 nucleotides. The record is from RefSeq and is a predicted model, not a curated record. NCBI's taxonomy places the organism in Eukaryota, Metazoa, Cnidaria, Hydrozoa, Anthoathecata, Hydridae.
UAUUUAAAUUAAUAUUGGUUUUAUGUUUACUAAGUUAACAUAUAUUACUCAUCAUACCUCUAUUAAAGCAUUAAUAAUUAUGAUUCAAGAUUAGCGUAGUUUUAUUUGAUGACAUUUCUAUGCGUUUUGUUUAUCUUUAGAAAGAGAAGUCUUGAAACAAUUGGGUUGUUACAUUUACAGUGUUUAUUAUACAACUUACUUAUUAUAUUGAAUUUUUUAAUUUAAUUAGUUUUUUUGUUUUUUGUUUUAAUUCAACUCUUCUUUUUUAAUGAAACCUGUUCAUAUUCAGAAGCCGAGGAAGAUGAAAUUGCUUUAAAAGAAAUGCAAAUGAAGCAAGAAACACUCAAUGAGGAAAUAGUUCGCAAACAGGAUGAGUUAGCUUAAAGAAAAGCAUUGCUGGGUAAAAAUAAUGUUUAUCUG